GACGAACGCUGGCGGCGUGCUUAACACAUGCAAGUCGAACGGAAAGGCCCUGCUUGCAGGGUACUCGAGUGGCGAACGGGUGAGUAACACGUGGGUGAUCUGCCCUGCACUUCGGGAUAAGCCUGGGAAACUGGGUCUAAUACCGGAUAGGAGCCAUUUUUAGUGUGAUGGUUGGAAAGUUUUUUCGGUGUAGGCUGAGCUCGCGGCCUAUCAGCUUGUUGGUGGGGUAAUGGCCUACCAAGGCGGCGACGGGUAGCCGGCCUGAGAGGGUGGACGGCCACAUUGGGACUGAGAGACGGCCCAGGCUCCUACGGGAGGCAGAAGUGGGGAAUCUUGCACGAUGGGCGCAAGCCUGAUGCAGCGACGCCGCGUGGGGGAUGACGGCCUUCGGGUUGAAAACUCCUUUCGCUAGGGACGAAGCUUUUUGUGACGGUACCUAGAUAAGAAGCACCGGCUAACUACGUG
This 465-nucleotide ribosomal RNA is filed under the name uncultured bacterium. Its description in RNAcentral is "partial 16S ribosomal RNA". It matches the Rfam family "Bacterial small subunit ribosomal RNA", at positions 28 to 507 of the family's 1533-position model. The record is from RNAcentral.